AUCAGAAUGCCACGGUGAAUACGUUCCCGGGCCUUGUACACACCGCCCGUCACACCAUGGGAGUGGGUUGCAAAAGAAGUAGGUAGCUUAACCUUCGGGAGGGCGCUUACCACUUUGUGAUUCAUGACUGGGGUGAAGUCGUAACAAGGUAACCGUAGGGGAACCUGCGGUUGGAUUACCUCCUUACCUUAAAGAAGC
Molecule: ribosomal RNA, 198 nt
Filed under: Shigella flexneri
Lineage: Bacteria; Pseudomonadati; Pseudomonadota; Gammaproteobacteria; Enterobacterales; Enterobacteriaceae
Description: partial 16S ribosomal RNA
Rfam family: Bacterial small subunit ribosomal RNA
Source: RNAcentral